GCGGGAGUAGCUUAGGGGUAGAGCGUCUCCUUGCCAAGGAGAAGGUCGCGGGUUCAAAUCCCGUCUCCCGCU
This 72-nucleotide transfer RNA is filed under the name Pseudomonadota bacterium. RNAcentral describes it as "tRNA-Gly". It matches the Rfam family "tRNA". Rfam says of the family: Transfer RNA (tRNA) molecules are approximately 80 nucleotides in length. Their secondary structure includes four short double-helical elements and three loops (D, anti-codon, and T loops). Further hydrogen bonds mediate the characteristic L-shaped molecular structure. tRNAs have two regions of fundamental functional importance: the anti-codon, which is responsible for specific mRNA codon recognition, and the 3' end, to which the tRNAs corresponding amino acid is attached (by aminoacyl-tRNA synthetases). tRNAs cope with the degeneracy of the genetic code in two manners: having more than one tRNA (with a specific anti-codon) for a particular amino acid; and 'wobble' base-pairing, i.e. permitting non-standard base-pairing at the 3rd anti-codon position. The record is from RNAcentral. RNAcentral also lists the same sequence under 1 other name. Lineage: Bacteria; Pseudomonadati; Pseudomonadota.